UCCUAAAAAAGAGAUGCAUCUGUGACUGCCUUCUAGUAUUGCUGUUCAGCUGUUAGAAGACAACCCUGCUUCAUCCACUCCAGUAGCUGCGUGGAACUAUGAGGACACUUGCACAGACCUGUUUUGGGGCAGAGGACAGAGGAGUGUGGACAACUGGGUACCCGUUGGCGCUGUAAUGAGUUUCCAAUCUACAGAUUUAUAUGCCCAUGUCAGUGCCAAUGUCACUGCUGGAUUCCUAAGGGCUCAGGAAGGAACUGCAAAUGACCACCAGAAUAGAGAUGCAUCUGUCUGAAUCAAGAGACCACAGGAGGGAUGUAAGAUCUCAAGGAACCCACGGAAAGGUCCCAUGGAGAGAGUUAGUUUUAACCACCUGCUGAGCCCAAAAGUGCAAUGUUACCCGUUUACUUUUCAGGGCCACAGAUGUAGAAUCCAGGAAAGUAGAAGGAAAAUGUUCUCCUCUGCUAU
Ailuropoda melanoleuca (giant panda) is the source of this 465-nucleotide long non-coding RNA. RefSeq lists it as uncharacterized. The record is from RefSeq and is a predicted model, not a curated record. The transcript has 3 exons. NCBI's taxonomy places the organism in Eukaryota, Metazoa, Chordata, Mammalia, Carnivora, Ursidae.